UACGAAGGGGGCUAGCGUUGUUCGGAAUCACUGGGCGUAAAGCGCACGUAGGCGGAUCGUUAAGUCGGGGGUGAAAUCCCAGGGCUCAACCCUGGAACUGCCUUCGAUACUGGCGAUCUUCGAGUCCGGGAGAGGUGAGUGGAACUCCGAGUGUAGAGGUGAAAUUCGUAGAUAUUCGGAAGAACACCAGUGGCGAAGGCGGCUCACUGGCCCGGUACUGACGCUGAGGUGCGAAAGCGUGGGUAGCAAACAGG
Molecule: ribosomal RNA, 254 nt
Filed under: uncultured bacterium
Lineage: Bacteria
Description: partial 16S ribosomal RNA
Rfam family: Bacterial small subunit ribosomal RNA
Source: RNAcentral